Molecule: ribosomal RNA, 378 nt
Filed under: uncultured bacterium
Lineage: Bacteria
Description: bacterial SSU rRNA
Rfam family: Bacterial small subunit ribosomal RNA
Source: RNAcentral
GACGAACGCUGGCGGCGUGCAUAACACAUGCAAGUCAAGGGGGUCAGUAGCAAUACUGGCAACCGGCGAACGGGUGCGUAACACGUAAGCGACCUACCUCGAUGUGGGGCAUAGCCGGCCUAACGGCCGGGUAAUUCCGCAUAAGAUCCCGAUGAGGCAUCUCAUUGGGAUGAAACCAGUAAUGGGCGGUCGAGAGGGGCUUGCGGCCUAUCAGCUAGUUGGUGAGGUAACGGCUCACCAAGGCUACGACGGGUAGCUGGUCUGAGAGGAUGGCCAGCCACAUUGGGACUGAGAUACGGCCCAGACUCCUACGGGAGGCAGCAGUGGGGAAUCUUGCGCAAUGGCCUAACGGCUGACGCAGCGACGCCGCGUGAGGGA